CCUACGGGAGGCAGCAGUGGGGAAUUUUGGACAAUGGGGGAAACCCUGAUCCAGCCAUUCCGCGUGAGUGAAGAAGGCCUUCGGGUUGUAAAGCUCUUUCGGCAGGAACGAAACGGCGGACUCUAACAUAGUCUGUCAAUGACGGUACCUGAAGAAGAAGCACCGGCUAACUACGUGCCAGCAGCCGCGGUAAUACGUAGGGUGCGAGCGUUAAUCGGAAUUACUGGGCGUAAAGCGUGCGCAGGCGGCUUUGUAAGACGGAUGUAAAAUCCCUGGGCUUAACCGAGGAACUGCGGUCGGGACUGCAAAGCUGGAGGGCGGCAGAGGGGGGUGAAAUUCCUGGUGUAGCAGUGAAAUGCGUAGAGAUCAGGAGGAACACCGAUGGCGAGGGCAGCCCCCGGGGUGGACGCGGACGCUCAGGCACGAAAGCGUGGGGAGCAAACAGGAUUAGAUCCCCGGGUAGU
This 464-nucleotide ribosomal RNA is filed under the name uncultured Rhodocyclaceae bacterium. RNAcentral's name for it is "partial 16S ribosomal RNA". It matches the Rfam family "Bacterial small subunit ribosomal RNA", at positions 338 to 794 of the family's 1533-position model. Lineage: Bacteria; Pseudomonadati; Pseudomonadota; Betaproteobacteria; Rhodocyclales; Rhodocyclaceae. The record is from RNAcentral.